GCUAUGAUAUGUAUUAGGGUGAUUGCAUUAGAAUCACGAAUGUGAAGCAUUGCAUAUUAUGUGAUCAGAGAUUAGGUGGACCCAGGCGACUCCAAUAGCCUAAGCUUCGGCUCCUGUCAUUGUGUCAGGUCAGUUGGGCAAUUACUUGUUGGAAUGCCCUGUGUAGCUCCUUUGGGGGGGCUAGUGUUGACAGAGGGUAUUUUUGGGGUCAUGUCUACCUUAGUGGGGAUUGGACCAAGGCGACUUCAAUAGCCCGUCGAGGGAGUUUUGGGGUCAUGUCUAAUCCAAGAUAUAUUGAGAUGUUUGUGUUGUGAUGCAUUUUCAUAUAUAGUGCGUAUGAAUGAACUGUUUUCAGUGUUUCUACUCACUGGGCUUUAGAAGCUCAUCCCUUUCCCUUAAUCCCAGUUUUGCAGGUUCAGAGUAGCUGGGAAGGGUAGAAGCAUCAGAGUUGCUAAAGGAUUGUAUAUGUA
This 470-nucleotide long non-coding RNA is filed under the name Manihot esculenta (cassava). Its description in RNAcentral is "long non-coding RNA (MESC_LNC012692)". The record is from RNAcentral. Lineage: Eukaryota; Viridiplantae; Streptophyta; Magnoliopsida; Malpighiales; Euphorbiaceae.